UUAUAAUUGACACUUGGUGGCAAAGGGAAGAUUACUCUAUUUGAGAAUUAAUUGCUUUCCCAGUACCAGUUUACUGGUUGCCAUUUUUGGGAACCAGACAAAGAGUUGUCAAGGACUACUCAUAAAAAAGAAAAGAGUAAUCAUACUAAUGUUUAAAGUCAAUAAUAUAAUGUACAAGCAUAUAUUACCAAGUUUUACUUUGCUGUUACAAAUGAAAUUGAGAAGUCACUAUACUUUUGGAGUUUGAAAAUGAAAAGAAGGAAG
This 264-nucleotide long non-coding RNA is filed under the name Mytilus galloprovincialis (Mediterranean mussel). The record is from RNAcentral. Lineage: Eukaryota; Metazoa; Mollusca; Bivalvia; Mytilida; Mytilidae.